This 488-nucleotide ribosomal RNA is filed under the name uncultured bacterium. Its description in RNAcentral is "bacterial SSU rRNA". It matches the Rfam family "Bacterial small subunit ribosomal RNA", at positions 28 to 526 of the family's 1533-position model. The record is from RNAcentral.
GAUGAACGCUGGCGGCGUGCUUAACACAUGCAAGUCGAACGAUGAUCCCCAGCUUGCUGGGGGGAUUAGUGGCGAACGGGUGAGUAACACGUGAGUAACCUGCCCCCGACUCUGGGAUAAGCCCGGGAAACUGGGUCUAAUACCGGAUAUUCACUUCCUUCCGCAUGGAGGGGGGUGGAAAGGUCUUUUCCGGUCGGGGAUGGACUCGCGGCCUAUCAGCUUGUUGGUGGGGUAGUGGCCCACCAAGGCGACGACGGGUAGCCGGCCUGAGAGGGUGACCGGCCACACUGGGACUGAGACACGGCCCAGACUCCUACGGGAGGCAGCAGUGGGGAAUAUUGCACAAUGGGCGCAAGCCUGAUGCAGCGACGCCGCGUGAGGGAUGACGGCCUUCGGGUUGUAAACCUCUUUCAGUAGGGAAGAAGCGAAAGUGACGGUACCUGCAGAAGAAGCGCCGGCUAACUACGUGCCAGCAGCCGCAGUAAAAC